Molecule: small nuclear RNA, 105 nt
Organism: Octodon degus (degu)
Lineage: Eukaryota; Metazoa; Chordata; Mammalia; Rodentia; Octodontidae
Source: Ensembl
GUGCUCACUUCGGCAGCACAUAUACCAAAAUUGAGUGAUACCGACAAGAUUCGCAUGGCCCCUACGCAAGGAUUACACCAAAUUCGUGAAGCGUUCCAUAUUUUU